GCCAGGCGCAGUGGCACGUGCCUGUAGUCCCAGCUACUCGGGAGGCUGCGGUGGGAGGAUCACUUGAGCCCAGGAGUUCUGGGCUGUAGUGCGCUAUGCCGAUCGGGUGUCCACACUAAGUUCAGAAUCAAUAUGGUGACCUCCCAGGAGCGGGGACCACCAGGUUGCCUAAGGAGCGGUGAGCCAGCCCAGGUUUUGACAGAGCAGGUCAAAACUUCUGUGCUGAUCAGUAGUGGGAUCUCACCUGUGAAUAGCCACUGCUCUCCAGCCUGGGCAACAGAGCAAGANNNNNNNNNN
Molecule: signal recognition particle RNA, 297 nt
Filed under: Cebus imitator (Panamanian white-faced capuchin)
Lineage: Eukaryota; Metazoa; Chordata; Mammalia; Primates; Cebidae
Description: Metazoan signal recognition particle RNA (ENSCCAG00000012770.1)
Rfam family: Metazoan signal recognition particle RNA
About the family: The signal recognition particle (SRP) is a universally conserved ribonucleoprotein. It is involved in the co-translational targeting of proteins to membranes.
Source: RNAcentral